Molecule: ribosomal RNA, 737 nt
Filed under: uncultured Tomentella
Lineage: Eukaryota; Fungi; Basidiomycota; Agaricomycetes; Thelephorales; Thelephoraceae
Description: eukaryotic LSU rRNA
Rfam family: 5.8S ribosomal RNA (bases 234-388)
Source: RNAcentral
UUUCCGUAGGUGAACCUGCGGAAGGAUCAUUACCGAACCGUCGACACGAGCUGUUGCUGGCCCUCGAAAGGGGGCACGUGCACGCUCUGUUUACAAUAUCCACUCACACCUGUGCACCCUCUGUAGUUCUGUGGCCUUGGGGACCCUGUCCCCUUGCUGUGGUCCUACGUCUUUACACACACACUGUAAUAAGGUCUCAUGGAAUGUAUGUCGCGUUUAACGCAAUACAAUACAACUUUCAGCAACGGAUCUCUUGGCUCUCGCAUCGAUGAAGAACGCAGCGAAAUGCGAUAAGUAAUGUGAAUUGCAGAAUUCAGUGAAUCAUCGAAUCUUUGAACGCACCUUGCGCCCUUUGGCUAUUCUGAAGGGCAUGCCUGUUUGAGUAUCAUGAACACCUCAACUCUCAUGGUCUGCCAUGAUGAGCUUGGACUUUGGGGGUCUUGCCGGCCUAGCGCCGGCUCCUCUCAAAUGCAUCAGCUUGCCAGUGUUUGGUGGCGUCACAGGUGUGAUAACUAUCUACGCUUGUGGUUUUCUGCCAUGUAACCUUCAGUGAUGGAGGUUCGCUGGAGCUCACAGAAGUCUCUCCUCGGCGAGGACAGCUCUUUGAACGUUUGAUCUCAAAUCAGGUAGGACUACCCGCUGAACUUAAGCAUAUCAAUAAGCGGAGGAAAAGAAACUAACAAGGAUUCCCCUAGUAACUGCGAGUGAAGCGGGAAGAGCUCAAAUUUAAAAUCUGG